AACGAACGCUGGCGGCAUGCCUAACACAUGCAAGUCGAACGGGACCUUCGGGUCUAUGUGCGCACGUCGACUUGACGCGUGGUGACCUACCCUUGAGUUCGCAGUAACUCCCCUAGGGAUAUGCUAAUGCCGGAGAAUGUCUUCGCGCCAACGAGUUAUCGCCGUUGGCUGGGCCCGCGUUGGAUUAGCUAGUUGGUAGGGUAAAAGCCUAACAAGGCGACGAUCCCUAGCUGGUCUGAGAGGAUGGUCAGUCACACUGGGAAUGCGACACGGACCAGAACCCUACGGGAGGAAGCAGUGGGGAAUACUGGACAAUGGGCGAAAGUCUGAUAAAGCCACGCGGGGUGAGUGAUGAAGGCCUUAGGGUUGCAAAGCCCUCUUACACGGGAUGAUAAUGACAGUAACGGGAGAAUAAGCUCCGGCUAACUACGUG
RNAcentral lists this ribosomal RNA (433 nucleotides) under uncultured bacterium. Its description in RNAcentral is "partial 16S ribosomal RNA". It matches the Rfam family "Bacterial small subunit ribosomal RNA", at positions 29 to 507 of the family's 1533-position model. The record is from RNAcentral.